Molecule: ribosomal RNA, 253 nt
Filed under: uncultured bacterium
Lineage: Bacteria
Description: partial 16S ribosomal RNA
Rfam family: Bacterial small subunit ribosomal RNA
Source: RNAcentral
UACGUAGGGUGCAAGCAUUAAUCGGAAUUAUUGGGCGUAAAGGGCGCGUAGGCGGGUUUAUAAGUCAGAUGUGAAAUUUCGGGGCUCAACCUCGGAGCUGCAUUUGAAACUAUAGAUCUUGAGGAUUGACGGAGAAAACGGAAUUCCACGUGUAGCGGUGAAAUGCGUAGAUAUGUGGAAGAACACCAGUGGCGAAAGCGGUUUUCUAGUUAACACCUGACGCUGAGGCGCGAGAGCAAGGGGAGCAAACAGG